GUUUUUAUGUAAUUUUUAUAAAGUCUAAUCUGCUCACUGAAAUUUAAAGAGCCGCGGUAUUUUAACCGUGCAAAGGUAGCAUAAUAAUUAGUUUUUUAAUUGGGAGCUUGAAUGAAUGAUUGAUCAAGAAAUAAAUUGUCUUAAUUAAAUAAAUUGAAUUUAACUUUUAAGUAAAAAGGCUUAAAUAAUUUUAAGUGACGAUAAGACCCUAUAAAAUUUAAUAAUUAAAGUAUAAAAUAUAAUUUAGUUAUUAAUUUUCUUUUUAUUUAAUUUAUUUUAUUGGGGCGAUAUAAAUAAAAUUAGUAACUGUUUAUAUUAUUUAAAUAAUAAUUAUUAGAAUAAUAAUUAAUGAUCCUUAAUUAAAGAUUAUGAGAUUAAAUUACUUUAGGGAUAACAGCGUAAUUUUUUUUAAGAGUUCUUAUCUACAAAAAAUAUUGCGACCUCGAUGUUGAAUUAAAAAUUCAUUAAGGUGUAGCCGCUUUAAUAGAAGGUCUGUUCGACCUUUAAAUUUUU
RNAcentral lists this ribosomal RNA (513 nucleotides) under Stylocheiron suhmii. RNAcentral describes it as "partial 16S ribosomal RNA". The stretch from base 390 to 513 matches the Rfam family "Archaeal large subunit ribosomal RNA", at positions 2542 to 2666 of the family's 2987-position model. Lineage: Eukaryota; Metazoa; Arthropoda; Malacostraca; Euphausiacea; Euphausiidae. The record is from RNAcentral.